AACCUGCUCUAUCAAAAGAAAGGAUCAACUCUGUGAGCUGAAUGCACACAGAACAAAGAAGUUUCGGAGAAAGCUUCUGUCUAGUGAUUAUGUGAAGAUAUUCCCGUUUCCAACGAAGGCCUCAAAGCGGUCCAAAUAUCCACUUGCAGAUUCUACUAAAAGAGUGUUUCAAAACUGCUCUAUUAUUAAGAAUGUUCAAGUCUCUGAGUUGAAUGCAAACAGCACACAGAAGUUUCUAAGAAUGCUUCUGUCUAGUUUUUAUGUGAAGAUAUUUCCUUUUCCACCAUAGGCCUCAAAACACUCCAAAUGUCCACUUCCAGAUUCUGCAAAGAGUGUUUCAAACCUGCUCUAUGAAAAGCAAGGUUUAACUCU
Molecule: long non-coding RNA, 372 nt
Filed under: Homo sapiens (human)
Lineage: Eukaryota; Metazoa; Chordata; Mammalia; Primates; Hominidae
Description: HSALNT0305893
Source: RNAcentral